This 254-nucleotide ribosomal RNA is filed under the name uncultured bacterium. Its description in RNAcentral is "partial small subunit ribosomal RNA". It matches the Rfam family "Bacterial small subunit ribosomal RNA", at positions 26 to 286 of the family's 1533-position model. The record is from RNAcentral.
AGGACGAACGCUGGCGGCGUGCUUAACACAUGCAAGUCGAGCGGAAAGGCCCUUCGGGGUACUCGAGCGGCGAACGGGUGAGUAACACGUGAGCAACCUGCCCCUGGCUCUGGGAUAGCCUCCGGAAACGGGGAUUAAUACCGGAUAUUCACUGUCUCCUGCAUGGGGGGUGGUGGAAAGUUUUUCGGCUAGGGUGGGCUCGCGGCCUAUCAGCUUGUUGGGGGGUGACGGCCCACCAAGGCGACGACGGGUAG